GUCAGGCAUUCUAGUCUGUGCCUAUAGACCCAGCUACUCAGGAGGCUGAGGCAGGAGGAUCACUUGAGUCCAGUAGUUCUGCGCUAUAGUGCUUUAUGCUGAUUGGGUCUCCACAAUAAAUUCUGAAUCAACAUAGUGACCUCCCACCUCCCAGGAGUCGGGGACCAUAGGUUGCCUAAGAAGGGGUGAACUGGCCCAGGUCAGAAAUGGGGCAGGUCAAAACUCCAGUACUGAUCAGUAGUGGGAUUGUAUUUGUGAGUAGCCAUUGCACUCCAGCCUGAGCAACAUAGUGAGACCUCAUUUCUA
This 306-nucleotide signal recognition particle RNA is filed under the name Macaca mulatta (Rhesus monkey). Its description in RNAcentral is "Metazoan signal recognition particle RNA (ENSMMUG00000043950.2)". It matches the Rfam family "Metazoan signal recognition particle RNA". Rfam says of the family: The signal recognition particle (SRP) is a universally conserved ribonucleoprotein. It is involved in the co-translational targeting of proteins to membranes. The record is from Rfam by way of RNAcentral. Lineage: Eukaryota; Metazoa; Chordata; Mammalia; Primates; Cercopithecidae.